GACAGAGGGUGCAAACGUUGCUCGGAAUUACUGGGCGUAAAGCGCGUGUAGGCGGACCGGAAAGUCGGGCGUGAAAUCCCUGGGCUCAACCCAGGAACUGCACUCGAAACUUCCGGCCUUGAGUGGUGGAGAGGGUAGUGGAAUUCCUGGUGUAGAGGUGAAGUUCGUAGAUAUCAGGAGGAACACCGGUGGCGAAGGCGGCUACCUGGACACCAACUGACGCUGAGACGCGAAAGCGUGGGGAGCAAACAGG
Molecule: ribosomal RNA, 253 nt
Filed under: uncultured bacterium
Lineage: Bacteria
Description: partial 16S ribosomal RNA
Rfam family: Bacterial small subunit ribosomal RNA
Source: RNAcentral